UAUUGAUUUCCGGGCACUUCCGUAUACUCAUAAAGCUUAGUAAAAGAUUUUCUGGAGAAGACGAGUUAGUUAGAUGAAGGCUAGGCAUUCUAGGACUCUCUAGCUAGCUAGUAUAGCUAUGUAGCUGGAUUGCUUGGCAUCUAGGAAGGAUCUUCUAAGAAAUAAAAAGACAAAGACUCCCGUCGCUCCAAUGGUCGUUGCGAGUGUCGGAGGCCUGAGAAACAAUAGUCUAUUGGCUAGAAUGUAGUUAUGGAGGGUUUAUGAAGACAAGUGGCACGGGAUACAUACAUCUAAAGAAAGCUAGCUAGCUAGAUAGCUGCUCUUUCUAAUGAAUUUCUGUUGCUAAAUUAUGUUUGUUAAGAAGUGGAGCUAUAAUAUACCUGGCUCCCUGGGAAUUUCCCCUCACGUAGACAGUAAAUUUCAUUGUAAAAAAUGAACGUUCGGUGAGUUUCUUCAACGUCCGCGCUUGACCUGUUUAAAGCUUUGUAGAGAGCCAAAUUUUUACAGGUAGGUAGAGGAAGGGCUGAAGUUAGCACCUGUGAAAAAAAAAUUUUUUUGCCCAUG
This is a long non-coding RNA of Halichondria panicea, 564 nucleotides long. RefSeq lists it as uncharacterized. The record is from RefSeq and is a predicted model, not a curated record. The transcript is spliced from 3 exons. NCBI's taxonomy places the organism in Eukaryota, Metazoa, Porifera, Demospongiae, Suberitida, Halichondriidae.